CCUACGGGAGGCAGCAGUGGGGAAUAUUGGACAAUGGGGGAAACCCUGAUCCAGCGACGCCGCGUGAGUGAAGAAGUAUUUCGGUACGUAAAGCUCUAUCAGCAGGGAAGAAAGUGACGGUACCUGACUAAGAGGCCCCGGCUAACUACGUGCCAGCAGCCGCGGUAAUACGUAGGGGGCAAGCGUUAUCCGGAUUUACUGGGGGGAAAGGGAGCGUAGACGGCCGCGCAAGUCUGGAGUGAAAUGCCGGGGCCCAACCCCGGAACUGCUCUGGAAACUGUGAAGCUGGAGUGCAGGAGAGGUAAGCGGAAUUCCUGGUGUAGCGGUGAAAUGCGUAGAUAUCAGGAGGAACACCGGCGGCGAAGGCGGCUGACUGGACUGUAACUGACGUUGAGGCUCGAAGGCGUGGGGAGCAAACAGGAUUAGAUACCCGGGUAGUC
Molecule: ribosomal RNA, 440 nt
Filed under: uncultured bacterium
Lineage: Bacteria
Description: partial 16S ribosomal RNA
Rfam family: Bacterial small subunit ribosomal RNA
Source: RNAcentral